Molecule: long non-coding RNA, 556 nt
Organism: Molossus molossus (Pallas's mastiff bat)
Lineage: Eukaryota; Metazoa; Chordata; Mammalia; Chiroptera; Molossidae
Exons: 5
Source: RefSeq, a predicted model, not a curated record
AUCUCAGAAUAAUCCAUUUGGAAUAUUUCAGAAGAGAAAGUUGGAGAGACACUCCACAGCCUCAAAAGCAUAUAUCCAUGCUGUGGACUGCCUAUGGGGCCAAGUGGAAAGGAGCUGGGAGUGGCCCGUGGAUGAUGGUCAACAAGGAAAGGGGGACCACCUCAGUUGUACAACCCCAAGGAACUGAAUUCUGCCAACAAAAUGAAUUCUGCUUAGAAAGAAGAGGAUUCUCCCCCUAAAGCCUCCUGAUAAGAAAGUGUAGCCGACAGCAUGAUAUUGGCCUUGUGAUAUUCUUUGAAGAAAACCCCUCCAUGCCUCGCAAGACUUCUGACCUACAGAACUGCCUGCUAAUGAGUUCAGAUAUCACCUCCAUCUGAGGACUCAUCUUGGACAUUCGUGUCAAUCUGGAGUAAGAAGGCUCACCUAGCUUCUUGGCAUUGCAGAAGGUUUUCUGGUCCUCCCUCACAGGCUUCUUGUCCACGUGGUUUGUUUUGUGUGUAAACUGGAACUGAAUGACCAUGGAAAUGAAAUUUCAACACUACAUGUCACAUGCCAG